Molecule: ribosomal RNA, 490 nt
Filed under: uncultured bacterium
Lineage: Bacteria
Description: partial 16S ribosomal RNA
Rfam family: Bacterial small subunit ribosomal RNA
Source: RNAcentral
AUUGAACGCUGGCGGCAGGCCUAACACAUGCAAGUCGAACGGUAACAGGAAACAGCUUGCUGUUUCGCUGACGAGUGGCGGACGGGUGAGUAAUGUCUGGGAAACUGCCUGAUGGAGGGGGAUAACUACUGGAAACGGUAGCUAAUACCGCAUAACGUCGCAAGACCAAAGAGGGGGACCCUCGGGCCUCUUGCCAUCGGAUGUGCCCAGAUGGGAUUAGCUUGUUGGUGGGGUAACGGCUCACCAAGGCGACGAUCCCUAGCUGGUCUGAGAGGAUGACCAGCCACACUGGAACUGAGACACGGUCCAGACUCCUACGGGAGGCAGCAGUGGGGAAUAUUGCACAAUGGGCGCAAGCCUGAUGCAGCCAUGCCGCGUGUAUGAAGAAAGCCUUCGGGUUGUAAAGUACUUUCAGCGGGGAGGAAGGGAGUAAAGUUAAUACCUUUGCUCAUUGACGUUACCCGCAGAAGAAGCACCGGCUAACUCCGUG